RNAcentral lists this ribosomal RNA (685 nucleotides) under uncultured bacterium. RNAcentral describes it as "bacterial SSU rRNA". It matches the Rfam family "Bacterial small subunit ribosomal RNA", at positions 95 to 790 of the family's 1533-position model. The record is from RNAcentral.
GCGGCGAGAGGGUGAGUAACGCGUGGUUACGUACCCUCAGGACCGGGAUAGUAGCGGGAAACUGCCAGUAAUACCGGAUAUCAUCUUCGGACCAAAGGUGUGACUCCGCCUGAGGAUUGGACCGCGUUCUAUUAGCUUGUUGGCGGGGUAAUGGCCCACCAAGGCUGCGAUGGAUACCGGGUGUGAGGGGAUGGCCCGGCUCACUGGGACUGAGACACUGCCCAGACACCUACGGGUGGCUGCAGUCGAGAAUCUUCGGCAAUGGACGCAAGUCUGACCGAGCGACGCCGCGUGCGGGAUGAAGGCCUUCGGGUUGUAAACCGCUGUCAGUUGGGAGGAAAUACUAGGGGGUUAUCCCCUUGGUUUGACGAACCUUCGGAGGAAGGCCGGGUUAAUUUGGUGCCAGCAGCCGGGGUAAGAGGAACGGUCCAAACGUUUUUGGGAAUCAUUGGGUUUAAAGCGUGCGUAGGCGGCCGCCUAGGUGAGAUGUGAAAGCCCCCGGCUCAACCGGGGAACUGCGUUUGAAACCGGCAGUCUUGAGGGGGGUAGGGGUGAUUGGAAUUCAUGGUGGAGCGGUGAAAUGCGUUGAUAUCAUCAGGAACACCGGUGGCGAAGGCGCAUCACUGGGCGCUUUCUGACGCUGAGGCGCGAAAGCCAGGGUAGCGAACGGGAUUAGAUACCCCGG